ACUGGCAAUCUACCUGAUUUGAGGUCAAUUGGUCAAGUAGAUUGUCCUUGCAGGACGGUUAGAAGCAAGCACGAGUCCAAUCCACGGCGUAGAUAAUUAUCACACCAAUAGACGGAGGCUCAGUAUGAGCUCGCUAAUGCAUUUCAGGGGAGCAGACCAGCACUGAGGCAGCCUGCAAAACCCCCACAUCCAAGCCUUCACCUGUCUCGUUACAAAACUGGUGAGGUUGAGAAUUUAAUGACACUCAAACAGGCAUGCUCCUCGGAAUACCAAGGAGCGCAAGGUGCGUUCAAAGAUUCGAUGAUUCACUGAAUUCUGCAAUUCACAUUACUUAUCGCAUUUCGCUGCGUUCUUCAUCGAUGCGAGAGCCAAGAGAUCCGUUGCUGAAAGUUGUAUAGUGUUUUAUAGGCAUGAAAGCCCAUUGACUACAUUCUACAUCAUUCAAAUGGGGUGUGUAAAAGACAUAGACCUGGAAAUUCAAAGAGAGCCGGCCUUGUCGACACAGCAAUCCUUGCAUCCGCUUUGUCACCAAAGCGAGAGGUAUCCAGACCUACACAUAGUUCACAGGUGGAAAGAUGAUAUGAAUGACGGGCGUGCACAAAUGCUUCUAGAAGCCAGCUACAACCAACGCCAUAGAUAUUCGUUAAUGAUCCUUCCGCAGGUACCCCUAUACGGAGGG
This 679-nucleotide unclassified non-coding RNA is filed under the name uncultured fungus. RNAcentral's name for it is "partial contains ITS1, 5.8S rRNA, ITS2, 28S rRNA". Lineage: Eukaryota; Fungi. The record is from RNAcentral.